This is a long non-coding RNA of Saccostrea cuccullata (small rock oyster), 469 nucleotides long. RefSeq lists it as uncharacterized. The transcript is spliced from 3 exons. NCBI's taxonomy places the organism in Eukaryota, Metazoa, Mollusca, Bivalvia, Ostreida, Ostreidae. The record is from RefSeq and is a predicted model, not a curated record.
AAAAACACUUUGAAAAGCUAAACGUCAUAAACUGCCCUCAAGAUUCUCUUUUUACGUUGCAUUUAUCUAUUUAACCUGCAAUUUUCUAUAUGCUAAAUCCAGUUCAUUUCAGUAUUGAUGCUUGUACUUUGACAUUUAAAACGGAAACAAGAUGAAGUUGAUGCAUGUAUUCAUUCUGCUUGUGCUAGCUGUUGUGCUCGAUGUUAUCGAAGCACAGAUGAAUCAACGAAGGAUAAGUGGAGGACCAAACGACCCUUGGUAUUGUUGCCGAAAGACCGUGGAUCGUUGCUUAGAAUGGUGUAGAUAAUUAAGGUAUCUGCUGCUGUGAAUGGAAGACGGAACAUAUUACUGGACGCCACUCUAAUAUCAUUGGAUAAAUUUCGAGAAAAUAAAUAAAUCCACAUGUUCUUUGAAUAUUUGAUAUCAAAGUAAUGACAAAAAUGUUUACUGUCAGUAAAAAUGAAUCUAU